Molecule: non-coding RNA, 363 nt
Organism: Pristis pectinata (smalltooth sawfish)
Lineage: Eukaryota; Metazoa; Chordata; Chondrichthyes; Rhinopristiformes; Pristidae
Source: the annotation of a RefSeq genome assembly
AUGCACAUACUUGCCCUCUGGGUUGUUUGUGGAACUUGUCUGACAGACCCCAGUCAUGGAGAUUCUGUCACUCAGACGGUGUCCUCAGAAGUGAAGACAGAAGGAGAGGAGGUGACUUUCAGCUGCAUCUAUGAUACUACAGCGAGCGACUACUCUGUAUAUUGGUACCGGCAACGGUCAGACACAAGACCUGAGUUCAUACUGCGUGAAGGUUCAAGUGGAGCUGAAAAUGCAGAUUUUGCCCAAACUCGCUUCGCCGGCCACCUCAAGAUGGAAAGUAAAUUCACCAGUUUGAACAUCGCAUCUCUGCAGCUGAGAGACUCUGCAGUUUAUUACUGCGUCUUCCGCCGCACAGUGAUGUAA